UACGUAGGGUGCAGGCGUUAAUCGGAAUUACUGGGCGUAAAGCGUGCGCAGGCGGUCUGCUAAGUGAGGUGUGAAAUCCCCGGGCUUAACCUGGGAACUGCGCUUCUAACUGGCAGGCUUGAGUGUGGCAGAGGGGGGUGGAAUUCCACGUGUAGCAGUGAAAUGCGUAGAGAUGUGGAGGAACACCGAUGGCGAAGGCAGCCCCCUGGGCUAACACUGACGCUCAUGCACGAAAGCGUGGGGAGCAAACAGG
This 253-nucleotide ribosomal RNA is filed under the name uncultured bacterium. RNAcentral's name for it is "partial 16S ribosomal RNA". It matches the Rfam family "Bacterial small subunit ribosomal RNA", at positions 524 to 776 of the family's 1533-position model. The record is from RNAcentral.